GGCCGAGUGGCGGAAUUGGCAGACGCAUCGGACUUAAAAUCCGAAGUUCCGAAAGGAGCGUGCGGGUUCGAGUCCCGCCUCGGCUA
Molecule: transfer RNA, 86 nt
Filed under: Planctomycetaceae bacterium
Lineage: Bacteria; Pseudomonadati; Planctomycetota; Planctomycetia; Planctomycetales; Planctomycetaceae
Description: tRNA-Leu
Rfam family: tRNA
About the family: Transfer RNA (tRNA) molecules are approximately 80 nucleotides in length. Their secondary structure includes four short double-helical elements and three loops (D, anti-codon, and T loops).
Source: RNAcentral